This 522-nucleotide ribosomal RNA is filed under the name uncultured Glomeraceae. RNAcentral describes it as "SSU rRNA". It matches the Rfam family "Eukaryotic small subunit ribosomal RNA", at positions 569 to 1092 of the family's 1831-position model. Lineage: Eukaryota; Fungi; Glomeromycota; Glomeromycetes; Glomerales; Glomeraceae. The record is from RNAcentral.
AGCAGCCGCGGUAAUUCCAGCUCCAAUAGCGUAUAUUAAAGUUGUUGCAGUUAAAAAGCUCGUAGUUGAAUUUCGGGGUUAGUAGGUUGGUCAUGCCUCUGGUAUGCACUGGCCUCACUGAUUCCUCCUUCCUGAUGAGCCGUAAUGCCAUUAAUUUGGUGUUGCGGGGAAUUUGGACUGUUACUUUGAAAAAAUUAGAGUGUUUAAAGCAAGCUAACGCUUGAAUACAUUAGCAUGGAAUAAUGAAAUAGGACGUUCGAUCCUAUUUUGUUGGUUUCUAGGAUUGACGUAAUGAUUAAUAGGGAUAGUUGGGGGCAUUAGUAUUCAAUUGUCAGAGGUGAAAUUCUUGGAUUUAUUGAAGACUAACUACUGCGAAAGCAUUUGCCAAGGAUGUUUUCAUUAAUCAAGAACGAAAGUUAGGGGAUCGAAGACGAUCAGAUACCGUCGUAGUCUUAACCAUAAACUAUGCCGACUAGGGAUCGGAUGAUGUUAAUUUUUUAAUGACUCAUUCGGCGCCUUACG